GCUUAAGACACCAUGGUUAUGUGCAUAAAAUAGCUUUAUUUUCAACAAAUCAGAAUCUGCAUGCAAAAAUCAAUGAUUCAUUGACUUCAACAUUAGAUCAGCGAUUUCAUCUGGAUGUGACCAAACAAAGCAGCAGAAUUUUCUCUUUUUAAUCAUUUUACACCAUGCUAGUAAUGCACAGCUCAAUCACGUUCCCCUUAACUAAUCCAGAACAUCCUUCUACAAAACAUAAAUAGAUUCGGCUUAAGCAGUCUAAAAGAAAUAGAAACUCUUAUUAAAAAAAAAAAAUCUUGUCAAAAGACUAACAGCCUUUGAAUUUUUUGCACUACGGUAUAUAAAACAAAUCUAAAAACCAAAAAAAAAUAAAAAAUACAAUAAAAUUAUCACAUGUACAAUAGCUGAGAAGGGGGAGCAACACCCCCGACCUGAAGGCAGGCAAUAAAAUAUGACAGUUAAAUUAAUACCAAAAAA
Molecule: long non-coding RNA, 471 nt
Organism: Sinocyclocheilus grahami
Lineage: Eukaryota; Metazoa; Chordata; Actinopteri; Cypriniformes; Cyprinidae
Exons: 2
Source: RefSeq, a predicted model, not a curated record